Molecule: transfer RNA, 56 nt
Filed under: Aedes aegypti (yellow fever mosquito)
Lineage: Eukaryota; Metazoa; Arthropoda; Insecta; Diptera; Culicidae
Source: Rfam by way of RNAcentral
AGCCUAGUUGGUAAAGCGCUCGUCUAGCAUACAAGAGUCUUGGGUUCAAAUCCCAG